This 4015-nucleotide ribosomal RNA is filed under the name Triticum aestivum (bread wheat). RNAcentral's name for it is "partial small subunit ribosomal RNA". The record is from RNAcentral. Lineage: Eukaryota; Viridiplantae; Streptophyta; Magnoliopsida; Poales; Poaceae.
GGAGGGGGCAAGUGUGAGAGAGGGGCGGGGGGCAUGCUUUGGGAUCCGGCGCCGCGCGGCGCGGCGGGGUUUUGGGGCGCCGGCUGCCACCGAGGGCGUACCUGGGGCGGCGCGGCCUGGGGCUGCCGCCGCCGGAGGGCGGCGCGCCUAGGCUGCGGCGGCUGCAGCGGCCGUUGUGCACCCUGGAGCGGGGGAAGAGCGGCGGCGGGCGACGCGAGGCGCCGCCGCUCGAGAUGUAGAUGGCGUUGCGGAUGUUGGACCAGGGCGCGAGGUAGCCGCUCACGGCGCCCCCCGAGUCCCGCGAGUUCAAGAAGCCGUUGCUGCAGCUCCACGACGGGGGCCUCCGGCCCCUGGACCUGCCCGAGGUAUCGGAGGUCGAGUUCCAGAGGCGCGGGUCCCAGAGGCCCCGGCACGAGGCCGCCUACGCCCGCGAGUCCCUCGAGCUCGAGAGGUACCACGGCGGGUCCGGGAGGCGGACGAGGUAUGAGCAGCUCUAGCGGCCGGAGUUCACGGAGUGGUUCGAGUGGUAGACGGUGAAGAGGUAGUCCAAGGAGGGGGGACUCUAACCAAGGGAGUCCUUCGAGGUUCUUGAACUAGACAGAAAGUUGUUCGACUUCUUGAACGGAUUGACCUAUUGGCUCAACGCCCGGGACUUUAAGGAGUUUCACUGAUUAUUAUUCAACCAUCUAAAUGGUAGUCCCUAGAGAAGAAACUCUACAGAACUUUCGGAACUGAAUAGCUUGUUAUCUAACUGUAGGGAACCUAGUCAACUUGAUCAGAGAUACGAAUGUGACGUCAUAGAAUUAGAAGUCAAAUUAUCCUAAAGGGUAAGAAAAUACUAUGGGAGAACCCAUACGACACUGUACUCCCUUUUACCACUUUAAGGAAACUUCUCACUGUUCGAUGUUGCAGAUCCAUAGCGUUUGUAUUUGUCUAGUCGUCUUGGAUCUGGACGUUCAGUACGAACGUUACCGCACGAGAGUACGAGUGGGUGUCUAUAAAGGGGGUUAAAUUUUCGAGUAUGGCGUGUCUUUUACUUCUUCCCGACCUUCGCUGCCCUAACGGACGUUGUCGUCCGAGCGGUGCUCGCAAACCUCAGGUCGUCCUCGUCCGAAACACUUUUACUGUAACUACUUUACCGACACUUGUACUGACUUCUACUAUACCUUUUGUCCGGUCACUACUUUCUGUAACAACUUCUUUCAAGUCGUGUCCUAAACUUUCUUUGUUCAAGAUAUAGACUUCUGGAUAGAACGUAUUAGCUAAUACUGAGUCUACCCGAAUAUUUUCUAUCACCGUACUACGAAGUCCUGGUUAUACCGCUACCUUUUUGACCUUAUUUAUACUCUUCAACAGUACUGUUGUUAAGACCAUAGUCGUGGCUAGGUCGAACAAACCCGUCAUAACUUUUACUUGAACUCCUAUGGCGAAGUAGUUGGGCGUUACGUCAACUUCAACAACUUCUCUUGUGAAGUCUCCGUAGAUUCGAAUGUGACUUUAGAUUUUCCGUAGGACUAUACCUGUUAUUAGGGUUUGGGUCGUUUACGGGUUCUGGUUAACUACUUAGGAGCUUCAAUAGGAUAUUCAUGUCGCACCUCAGUAAAACGUCGUAUCUACUGGUAAAUGGCCUACCUAAAAUACUGCGCCCCGCUCUAUACGGCAAGUACGGUAAUCUCCUCAUGCUUGCCUCAGAGCCUGACAUACGCGCACUUCAAUAAGAAAACCUGUCUCUUGUUCUACUUCUUAACCUGCGUUAACGAAGAAGUCGUGUUGACAACAAUAGGUCAAACUUCUCCGGUUCAAUAAGGCUUUGUCUACUUCUACGUCCAGUCCUGAACGAUUCCCGUAGUCAAGAACGAAACAAACAGAGACUGACAAAACCUCCAACACUAGCUUCACGAAGAGACUCCUCUUGUGCCCCUCGAUAACAAUCGAACUCCUUCCUCGUUGGUAAGUAAACAUGAACACGACGGCCAUCGUACACACUAUCGUUACUUCGUAGUUUUGUUCGGUCAUGGGGAGGGCCCGUGAAGUUAAAAUGACCAGAGACACUAUUUAGUUAUGUGUAGUAAUUCCUUUCCUUAUUAAGUCCGUAACAUGGUUAUCCCCGUAACGUCAAACCACAAACGUCCGUGGCUCGACAGGAUUACUUCAUAAACACACUGGCCCGCCUGGGAGGUUAAGGAACACUCGAACACUCCCCCGUAGAACUGAUGUGCGGAGUACGAACCUUACAACAGGGAUAAUCUGUUCCCUUAUAGAACCAUUCCUACUAACAACUACGCACAAUGGGGUGCUUGUAUUUCCUUCUCUGCCUAGGUCUCAUGAAGACGUCCAUACAAGGGGAGUCAGCUGACGUGCAACGCGAACUACUACUUCCGAUAUGUGGAGCCAGAAGGAAGGGAAGCCAGAGUGAUACGUUUCUUUAACUUCGAUGUCGAAGGUCGCGACAGAUGGUGACGUUUUAACCAAGUCAACUACGUCGUCGUUUCUAUGCCAUGGAUCUAUGGGCCGCACGAAGAUUACUACUUCAUUUUUUUAAACUUAUGUUCGAAGAACCCCUUCAUUCUUACUACUUACGAGAUUCCUUCGUGUCUAGGUAUCACCUGUAUAUACCAGUGGUUGAAAGAAGAUUUACCCAAGUUCUACUAUCACUAUUCCUCAUGUCCUAUUACGUCAGACAUUAAAAUUACCUUAUACACUUUCCUCCAAGUGACUUCCCGAUAAACUGUUUUGAUGACUUUCUCCCGUUCUUUGUACAUGGACACCUGGACCGUAAAAUGUAACGAGCUCUUCAACGAAGACGAAACAACCUCUACGUGUCCUUCGAUCAAUAAGUGGCCCUGUAUUUUUCGCUCUUACAAAACCAACUAAACCUAAGCUUCUCCUCAGUACCCUGUGGUCAUCAGUUUGAGAGACUAAAGCUGUCUAGGUAAGGAAACGUAAGAGAUAGGGUAUGUACGACAUAUCGAGUGGAACCGUGUAUAGGUGGGUUACAAACACAACCCUGUGGAACAACCUACCGAGGUCUCCAAGAAGUCCGGUACGUACUCUUUUGGGUCAUACCUGACCUUCACCUAUAGACCAGUAUACCCACAAAAUAUAAGCUCUACGAAUGUGAAGCGUAUGGGAUGCUCCCUGAUGGUCUAAGUCUUUAUAUACUAGAGUAUUUCUCCUUCUUUGUUUCCGGUUCCGAUUGAUUUCUUAAUCUUCGCAAGACCUGUCACCUGCUCGGUUAAUGUUCCGACUUCAACCCCUAGUGUAGACUACGAGUACGUCUCUUUGAUUCUAAAGAUUAACUAGAUAAGAUGGUCACGUGGUCUCCUUGACGUAGAUCCGCGGGGUUCCGGCUCGUUUAAAUGUUAAGCGAAACGAGGAAUGGGUGUACGAUACUGGACUCGACUGGGGCACCUAAGACUUACUCUUUCGACUACCAAUCCGUCAGAGCGACGGUCUAGCCGGAGCCAGUCCUGUCCAAUUUGCCCUGUCGAUAUCGUCCAGUAACCUAGACCGGUCGAAGACUCACGGAGCCCCGAGCUUGGUCUUGUGAGGCGUAAAGUGACUACAACCAGAAGCCCACCACCGCCUUUUUCAGUUUGGUUCCGCUACCCGCUGAAACCGGCGACUUCGAGGAGGACCCAGUCAAAACGUCGUCGCGACGUACGACCGAAGUGGACAACAUCGUCAGAGGUAGGACCAGCACACACAUACACAUACAGUACAUUAUAAAAAGAAGUAUUAAACGUUAAAAGGUAUUGAAUAAUAAGUUAGCUCAGAAGAUUCAAUAGCUAAAUCCAGUUCCGAGGUAAAAAUACAUAGACACAUGCAUGCUAACAGCCAGGUCGCCACUCGGUACAUUGAAAUCUUACGACUCAACACAUUGUUUGCCCUUGCCCUGUUAAAAAAUUGUCUCCGACACACAAUACUAAAGGGACGGUCGUUAACAUAAGUAUCAACAGCGGCCGGUUUUGCAAUGUCCGCGACACCGACACGUUUCAGUUCUCAAAAUAAGUCG